UGCGGUGUCUGGUUGAGGCUUGGGUGGUAUAAACAAUUAUCUGUGUGUCUUGUAGGUUGGUAGUACAACGAUUGUCCUAUUUGUCUAUACAGAAUGUCUGUUGUUGGCUGAUUGUUAUGCUUCAAUUGAUAUAUAUCUUGAUCAUUUAUUCUUGAAUGUUGUGUUGUAUUGUUUUAAACAGAAAUGUGGUUUUGGACAUAAUCUUGGUUUGUCCAAUUUGGAACAACUUCUAUAAGGUUAUCCUUGCAGAUGUUUCGAGUCUCUAGUU
RNAcentral lists this long non-coding RNA (268 nucleotides) under Mytilus galloprovincialis (Mediterranean mussel). Lineage: Eukaryota; Metazoa; Mollusca; Bivalvia; Mytilida; Mytilidae. The record is from RNAcentral.